Leptopilina heterotoma is the source of this 361-nucleotide long non-coding RNA. RefSeq lists it as uncharacterized. The transcript has 3 exons. The record is from RefSeq and is a predicted model, not a curated record. NCBI's taxonomy places the organism in Eukaryota, Metazoa, Arthropoda, Insecta, Hymenoptera, Figitidae.
GGAAAUAUUUUGACAGCUCGUGCAGGAGAUUCAACAAAGUGCAACAAAGUUUCUCUGUGUGUCUCUCUGUGCCAGUAGUGUCUCAAAAUUAGAUUAUUUUUCGUAACAUUUGUGUGUGUCACGCACGCUUGCCUUUGUCUUCAAAAUGAUUAAAUUUGUCGUUACAUUGUCUGUAGGAAUUUAUGCUGGAAUUUACAUCAGCCAAAAUUAUGAGGUGCCUCGUGUCGAUGAACCAAGUAAAAUAUUCGAGAGAAUAAAACAAUUUGCAGACGAUCAUAAAAAGAAAUAGAAAUAAAAAUAAAAAUGUACAGCUGAAAUUUUGAAAAUCGAUUUGUAAAUAAAUAACUAGUUUUUAAUUAUA